Molecule: ribosomal RNA, 110 nt
Filed under: Rhodococcoides fascians
Lineage: Bacteria; Bacillati; Actinomycetota; Actinomycetes; Mycobacteriales; Nocardiaceae
Description: partial 16S ribosomal RNA
Rfam family: Bacterial small subunit ribosomal RNA
Source: RNAcentral
UUUUACGGAGAGUUUGAUCCUGGCUCAGGACGAACGCUGGCGGCGUGCUUAACACAUGCAAGUCGAGCGGUAAGGCCUUUCGGGGUACACGAGCGGCGAACGGGUGAGUA